RNAcentral lists this ribosomal RNA (913 nucleotides) under uncultured bacterium. RNAcentral's name for it is "bacterial SSU rRNA". It matches the Rfam family "Bacterial small subunit ribosomal RNA", at positions 8 to 917 of the family's 1533-position model. The record is from RNAcentral.
AGAGUUUGAUCCUGGCUCAGGAUGAACGCUAGCGGCAGGCUUAAUACAUGCAAGUCGUGGGGCAGCGCAGUGUAGCAAUACAUGGGCGGCGACCGGCAAACGGGUGCGGAACACGUACACAACCUUCCUACAAGUGGGGAAUAGCCCAGAGAAAUUUGGAUUAAUACCCCGUAACAUAUAAAGAUGGCAUCAUUUUUAUAUUAUAGCUACGGCGCUUGUUGAUGGGUGUGCGGCUGAUUAGGUAGUUGGCGGGGUAAUGGCCCACCAAGCCUGCGAUCAGUAGCUGAUGUGAGAGCAUGAUCAGCCACACGGGCACUGAGACACGGGCCCGACUCCUACGGGAGGCAGCAGUAAGGAAUAUUGGACAAUGGGCGCAAGCCUGAUCCAGCCAUGCCGCGUGAAGGAUUAAGGUCCUCUGGAUUGUAAACUUCUUUUAUAAGGGACGAAAAAAGGGAAUUCUUUCUCACUUGACGGUACCUUAUGAAUAAGCACCGGCUAACUCCGUGCCAGCAGCCGCGGUAAUACGGAGGGUGCAAGCGUUAUCCGGAUUCACUGGGUUUAAAGGGUGCGUAGGCGGGUAUUUAAGUCAGUGGUGAAAUCCUAGAGCUUAACUCUAGAACUGCCAUUGAUACUAUUUAUCUUGAAUAUUGUGGAGGUAAGCGGAAUAUGUCAUGUAGCGGUGAAAUGCUUAGAUAUGACAUAGAACACCUAUUGCGAAGGCAGCUUACUACGCAUAUAUUGACGCUGAGGCACGAAAGCGUGGGGAUCAAACAGGAUUAGAUACCCUGGUAGUCCACGCCCUAAACGAUGGAUACUCGACAUACGCGAUACACUGUGUGUGUCUGAGCGAAAGCAUUAAGUAUCCCACCUGGGAAGUACGACCGCAAGGUUGAAACUCAAAGGAAUUGACGGG